This 369-nucleotide ribosomal RNA is filed under the name uncultured organism. Its description in RNAcentral is "bacterial SSU rRNA". It matches the Rfam family "Bacterial small subunit ribosomal RNA", at positions 526 to 896 of the family's 1533-position model. The record is from RNAcentral.
CGUAGGGUGCAAGCGUUAAUCGGAAUUACUGGGCGUAAAGCGUGCGCAGGCGGUUUAUUAAGUCAGCUGUGAAAUCCCCGGGCUUAACCUGGGAAUGGCAGUUGAGACUGGUAGGCUGGAGUGUGUCAGAGGGGGUCGAAUUCCACGUGUAGCAGUGAAAUGCGUAGAGAUGUGGAGGAACACCGAUGGCGAAGGCAGCCCCCUGGGAUAACACUGACGCUCAUGCACGAAAGCGUGGGGAGCAAACAGGAUUAGAUACCCUGGUAGUCCACGCCCUAAACGAUGUCAACUAGUUGUCGGGACUUAAUUGUCUUGGUAACGCAGCUAACGCGUGAAGUUGACCGCCUGGGGAGUACGGUCGCAAGAUUA